CCUACGGGUGGCUGCAGUGGGGAAUAUUGGACAAUGGGCGAAAGCCUGAUCCAGCCAUGCCGCGUGUGUGAAGAAGGCCUUCGGGUUGUAAAGCACUUUCAGUGGGGAAGAAAGCCUUGGGGCUAAUACCCUCGAGGAAGGACAUCACCCACAGAAGAAGCACCGGCUAACUCCGUGCCAGCAGCCGCGGUAAUACGGAGGGUGCGAGCGUUAAUCGGAAUUACUGGGCGUAAAGCGCGCGUAGGCGGUCUGAUAAGCCGGUUGUGAAAGCCCCGGGCUCAACCUGGGAACGGCAUCCGGAACUGUCAGGCUAGAGUGCAGGAGAGGAAGGUAGAAUUCCCGGUGUAGCGGUGAAAUGCGUAGAGAUCGGGAGGAAUACCAGUGGCGAAGGCGGCCUUCUGGACUGACACUGACGCUGAUGUGCGAAAGCGUGGGUAGCAAACAGGAUUAGAUACCCCGGUAGUC
This 465-nucleotide ribosomal RNA is filed under the name Vreelandella stevensii. Its description in RNAcentral is "partial 16S ribosomal RNA". It matches the Rfam family "Bacterial small subunit ribosomal RNA", at positions 338 to 795 of the family's 1533-position model. The record is from RNAcentral. Lineage: Bacteria; Pseudomonadati; Pseudomonadota; Gammaproteobacteria; Oceanospirillales; Halomonadaceae.